RNAcentral lists this transfer-messenger RNA (348 nucleotides) under Spirochaetaceae bacterium. It matches the Rfam family "transfer-messenger RNA". Rfam says of the family: Bacterial tmRNA, also known as 10Sa RNA or SsrA, is named for its dual tRNA and mRNA-like properties. Its role is to liberate the mRNA from a stalled ribosome. Lineage: Bacteria; Pseudomonadati; Spirochaetota; Spirochaetia; Spirochaetales; Spirochaetaceae. The record is from RNAcentral.
GGGGGUGCACCGGUUUCGACUGGCGCGGCUCGGGUUGCAGGUUGCAGGUGGAGCGUCGGCCUCCUAAUAUCCGACAAACUUAUAAUUGCCGAAAACGACAAUUACGGCUACGCCUUAGCGGCGUAAUCGCGUGGGACAGUCUCGCCGCCUUGAGGGGCUGUUUCCGCGUUGCAAUCAAGGCUGGCCGCACAAUGGUUUUCAGACAUUGCGCGGUAAGAUUUUCUGAAAUACGGAUGGGCCGCGUGCCGUGAAGCCAAGCCCGUCCUGACAAUAUGAUGCACGGCUAAACCUGUAGACGCUUGUAGUCCGCGCGUUAGGACAUGGGUUCAAUUCCCAUCACCUCCAUUC